UCACUAUCCCCAAUCUGGCUGCGUGUUACCUAACAAAUUGCCCCAUGUUCACUACUCGCCACUCUUCACCUCAGGGGAUCUGUGUUUAUAGGAGAGAAGAAUCGGACGCUAUUCGCAAUCUUUCUUUUUAUGCUUGUGAUUCACAGCCGAAUUCCGGCGAACUGCACCCUAAACCAGUAUUUCCAAUGAGCGUUUUUUUUCUGUCUUGCCAUCACGAAUGAGCCAAGUAAGAGCCGGGUCACGCACCCUUAGUGACCAGUAGGGGUCUCUCUUUCAUCUCACCCUGGCCGAGGGGAAAACUUCAGAGGCUGGAAUGAUGACCCUGCUGCUCCCUGGUGGCAGCCCUCUCCUCCAUGUGAGGGUUUCCACAACACCAGAGGUGGAAGUCCUACCACAAAAAUCCCAGGAAUUCUGAGUUUUCACCACAGUCGUUUCUGAUUGGCUAACAUUUCACACCAGAUUCAGCUGAAAUCAAACGCAUAUCGACGUCCCUUUAGAGGCAGUGCUGAAAUGUCGUGGGGACACUUCCUGUUCUUACCAAUACAGUUUCUACAGAUGCCGUCUGCUUCCUCUCUCCCUCGGUAUGGCGACUGAGGUGGACGGCACAAUCAACCAAACAAUGUCAAUAAAAAAAAAAGAAUUGUCAA
Long non-coding RNA from Brienomyrus brachyistius, 647 nucleotides. RefSeq lists it as uncharacterized. Lineage: Eukaryota; Metazoa; Chordata; Actinopteri; Osteoglossiformes; Mormyridae. The record is from RefSeq and is a predicted model, not a curated record. The transcript is spliced from 2 exons.